GGGAUUGCCUUAGUAACGGCGAGUGAAGCGGCAAAAGCUCAAAUUUGAAAUCUGGUACCUUCGGUGCCCGAGUUGUAAUUUGGAGAGGGCAACUUUGGGGCCGUUCCUUGUCUAUGUUCCUUGGAACAGGACGUCAUAGAGGGUGAGAAUCCCGUGUGGCGAGGAGUGCGGUUCUUUGUAAAGUGCCUUCGAAGAGUCGAGUUGUUUGGGAAUGCAGCUCUAAGUGGGUGGUAAAUUCCAUCUAAAGCUAAAUAUUGGCGAGAGACCGAUAGCGAACAAGUACAGUGAUGGAAAGAUGAAAAGAACUUUGAAAAGAGAGUGAAAAAGUACGUGAAAUUGUUGAAAGGGAAGGGCAUUUGAUCAGACAUGGUGUUUUGUGCCCUCUGCUCCUUGUGGGUAGGGGAAUCUCGCAUUUCACUGGGCCAGCAUCAGUUUUGGUGGCAGGAUAAAUCCAUAGGAAUGUAGCUUGCCUCGGUAAGUAUUAUAGCCUGUGGGAAUACUGCCAGCUGGGACUGAGGACUGCGACGUAAGUCAAGGAUGCUGGCAUAAUGGUUAUAUGCCGCC
RNAcentral lists this ribosomal RNA (564 nucleotides) under Saccharomyces cerevisiae (brewer's yeast). RNAcentral describes it as "partial large subunit ribosomal RNA". It matches the Rfam family "Eukaryotic large subunit ribosomal RNA", at positions 71 to 649 of the family's 3401-position model. The record is from RNAcentral. Lineage: Eukaryota; Fungi; Ascomycota; Saccharomycetes; Saccharomycetales; Saccharomycetaceae.